Molecule: ribosomal RNA, 1039 nt
Filed under: Vibrio sp. LS6
Lineage: Bacteria; Pseudomonadati; Pseudomonadota; Gammaproteobacteria; Vibrionales; Vibrionaceae
Description: bacterial SSU rRNA
Rfam family: Bacterial small subunit ribosomal RNA
Source: RNAcentral
UCGGCAGCUAACCAUGCAGUCCGAGCGGAACGAGUUUCUGAACCUUCCGGGGAACGAUAACGGCGUCGAGCGGCGGACGGGUGAGUAAUGCCUAGGAAAUUCGCCCUGAUGUGGGGGAUAACCAUUGGAAACGAUGGCUAAUACCGCAUGAUGCCUACGGGCCAAAGAGGGGGACCUUCGGGCCUCUCGCGUCAGGAUAUGCCUAGGUGGGAUUAGCUAGUUGGUGAGGUAAGGGCUCACCAAGGCGACGAUCCCUAGCUGGUCUGAGAGGAUGAUCAGCCACACUGGAACUGAGACACGGUCCAGACUCCUACGGGAGGCAGCAGUGGGGAAUAUUGCACAAUGGGCGCAAGCCUGAUGCAGCCAUGCCGCGUGUGUGAAGAAGGCCUUCGGGUUGUAAAGCACUUUCAGUCGUGAGGAAGGUAGUGUAGUUAAUAGCUGCAUUAAUUGACGAUAGCAACAGAAGAAGAACCGGCUAACUUCUCGUGACAUCCAGCAGAACUUUCGCAGUAGAUACGGAGUGGUGCGAGCGUUAAUCGGGAACUACUGAGCGUAAAGCUGCAUGCAUGGCUGGUCUGUCAAGCUCAUGAUGUGAAAUGCCCGGGGCUCAAGUCCUCGCAACGAGCGCAACCCUUGAAACUUGUUUGCCAGACUAGAGUAAUGUAGAGGAACUCCAGGGUAGAAUGCCAGUGAUAAACCGGAGAAAUGCGUAGGGACGAUCGUCAAGACAUCACGGCCCUGACGAAGCAGGCGCCUACACACGAUACUGACAAUCGAUGCGCAUAGCAGAGGGCGAGCAAACAUGCGAAAGUGAGCGAAUACCCAAAAAGUCACGUCGUAAUCCAUGACUACUGGAGUCUGGCAACUCGACCUGGCCAUCCGAACUAGGAACCGCUAGUAAUCAGCCUGGAGUACAGUAAUGCCACGGUGAAUACGUUCCCGGGCCUUGUACACACCGCCCGUCACACCAUGGGAGUGGGCUGCAAAAGAAGUAGGUAGUUUAACCUUCGGGGGGACGCUUACCACUUUGGGUGCUUAG